This is a long non-coding RNA of Drosophila mauritiana, 2901 nucleotides long. RefSeq lists it as uncharacterized. The transcript is spliced from 4 exons. The record is from RefSeq and is a predicted model, not a curated record. Lineage: Eukaryota; Metazoa; Arthropoda; Insecta; Diptera; Drosophilidae.
AAUUGCUUAGGGGCCUGCCCGGGCAUCGUAUUUGGUGGCAGAGCUAAAUAAUUUUAGAAUUAGUAGCAUUAACUGAGCAGUACUGUUUGGGAAUUAGAACUGAAAUAUACGUUGUUUUCAGCAUGCCAAAUGCUUUCUUGAAUUCAUUCGACUUUGUCGCGACGGGCAGAUAAAAAUCAUAAAAGGAAUAUAUCGAAUUUGAAGAACUGAUAUUUAGUUAAAACAUUAACUUUUUACCUUUUAGGACUAACAUAUACCGACUACCAUAUACCCAGCUAAGUUCUCUGAGUCUGAAACAAGUUUCCCAACAUUAAAACAUAGAAUCCAUUCACUUUGAGGCUCUAUCGAUUUCCAGAUCAUUUCACAAUUCAAAGACCCGGCAUGGCCAUUGUCCGAGAUCUCCAAAUGACCAGGUUAAUAAGCAUAUACCAGUGGAAACCAGUUGGUCCAACUAGCGGAGCCAAGCCCCUGGGGUGGGAGCUCACUUAGGCCCCUCUAAAAGCAUACGCAUAGCCAAUGGUCGAGGCCAUAUUUACACUCUCCGUCCGAAAAAAUCUAUUCAGCCGGAGCCAGAACUAAUAAAACUCAUUAAACCAAACAUGUUUGGGCCAAGACAAAGGCCUCUGUCUAUGCCCAAUUUGAAUAAUCUCCUACACAGAGAGCAGACUAUGGCCACAUCAAAUGGGGAACUGGAUGGCGGCGAGAACCCGCGAGUCAAUAAUCUGAUUGGGGAGGCGAGUGAGAACAACGUUCAAUUAAAAGCAGAACCCAAAUUAAUGAAAUGAAAAUAAAAAUAAAUUAACCAAGGCCUGAACUCGACUUCAAAUCUGAACCGAAUCCGAAUCUGAAUCCGAACCCGAAAGAAAGCGGCCGUGCGGCGAAACCAACCAAACCAGCAGCCUCUGAAAAAGAGAGAAUCAAAAUGAUGACUUUUCAGUUCGGAGCGAAACUGUACCCCCCUGUUCGGCAUCGGCAUCGGCAUUGGCAUGGGCAUGGGCAUGGGCAUUAUAAUGAUCACCGAGAUCAUGAUGAUGCUGCGUGGAAGAGGAAGAACACAAAAGGUGGCUGUGGAACCCAAACCCGAACUUCCACCGGCAAAUGGCCAAGAUCGAUACAAUUUUCGAGCAGCAUUCGGGUUUUCGGACCCCAAAAGUCAGAGAACAGUAACAAUGCCGAGCCACAGAUACAAAGAUACCCAGAUACAUAUGGCUACAUAUAUACGUAUGGCGGCCAUAAGGCGGGGGACUGAGACAAAGUCACCUUUUUGGUUAUACGGGGAGAGACAAAAGACGUGGAAUGGGAACAAGAUCAUUGCAUUUUUGCUGGCUGCUGGCUGUUUUUUGUUUUUAUUGCAGCCCCGAAGCCAGUUUCGCCCCAGCCUGGUAACAAGUUUGACUGAAAAUUCUAAAAAUAAUGCCGGCCGGUUUGUCGUUUCCAAAAGAAAAUCAAAAACACACAAAAAAGGGGGAAUACGAAAAGAAAGAGUGGGCCCAACUCCAGAGAUGGUGCAUCUGUAGGCGAGUGUGAGUGAGUGAAGGGUAGGAAAAAAAUAACCAACACAAAAAAGUAACAUUUCGAGGAAGGGACUAAGGAUGCCAAGUGCCAAGUCACUCGAUUCGGCUUACAGGCAGCUGCAAUUGGUCCAGGGAUGGAGCACAAUUCACAGUGCUGCAGCCCUGAAGCUGACCGAUGUUGCAUCUUUCCUCUGCACAGCCAGACCAAUCUCGGGCCCAAUCCCUAUCCAGUCCGGUCCGGUCCGGCUGGCUUUGGUCAUGAGUCCCUAGUGCCCAGUGCCCGGUGCCUGGGCCCUGAUGAUCAUGACGCUGCUAAAUGUGGCCGGUGGUGCCCAGCAUGGGGCAGGGGCAGCCGGUUCAGUCUGUGGUGCUGUCCCCCCCCCCCCCCCUCCGCAGCCCACAGUGCUUGUUUGCAACAAGUAACGCGCAGAGGAAUCUGUAUUUGCCGGGCCAAAGAGUUGCUUACCUGCGGAGGCCGAGCUACCUGUGUCCAGGUAGGCGUAUGCAUGUGUGCCUGUGCCCUAUCCACAUCCUUCGUCUCUGCAGUGGAUGCAGCAGCCAGCGGUCAGCGGAGGCAGCGCAGCAUCGAACCAUCAUUAUAUUCAGGUUUUGAUGCCCCUCAUCCCCAUCCAGCACGCGAUAAAUCUCCGGCUUACAAUCAGGAGAAAUGCUGCCAGAACAAAAGCCCACAUGUCCAUUGCGUUGCCUUCGGCUCGCCGGUGAUUUGAAUAGCCACAGUUCUAGUGCCACAAAAAGAGCGAUGCUGCCAGUGGUCCCUGACCCUCGUCGUAAUCAAAGACGCCCAAUCGAGUAUGGGGGGGCUAUUUUUGUAAAACCCCAACUCGACUUGCUCAUUAUUUUGACGCUUUUUGGCUGGUCAUCGCUCUCAAGUGGCUCAUUCGGGUCGAGAUUGAUUCGAAAGAAAGGUGCAGAGAAAGUGUUACAACAAGACAGAAGCCAAUAGUCAAGCCCCUCGACUAUCAGAUACCCGUUACUCAGCUAGAGGAAAACGCAAUUUUGAACACAAAACAAAAGGAAAAAAUUUUUAACGUUUCAUUUUCGUAAUUGUAAUUUAAUAAUUAAAGGGACUCAUAUUCUCAUUUAGGGUUAUUUCUGUUUGUGUUCUGUGUACGUAAGAGGAGCAUGCCCAGCAUUUAAUGGCAUAUCGAUAUAAAAUUGACAAGUCAAACUAUUUCCAAAACAGUGGGCGUGACAGUUUUUGACGUCGAUGGUACCCCAUUUACUCUACGAGCAUAUACUGUUACACAAACUUAAAAAAUUAAUAAUUAAUAAUAGAAAAUAAAAAAAAAAUAGAAAAUAAUAAAAUUCGAAACGAUGUCACAAUAUUAAAAAGGUAAUAUAUUUGAACAUUUAUGAGUUUUUAAAG